UAGGGAAUCUUCGGCAAUGGACGAAAGUCUGACCGAGCAACGCCGCGUGAGUGAAGAAGGUUUUCGGAUCGUAAAACUCUGUUGUUAGAGAAGAACAAGGACGUUAUUAACUGAACGUCCCCUGACGGUAUCUAACCAGAAAGCCACGGCUAACUACGUGCCAGCAGCCGCGGUAAUACGUAGGUGGCAAGCGUUGUCCGGAGUUAUUGGGCGUAAAGCGAGCGCAGGCGGUUUCUUGAGUCUGAGGUGAAAGCCCCCGGCUCAACCGGGGAGGGGCAUUGGAAACUGGGAGACUUGAGGGCAGAAGGGGAGAGUGGAAGUCCAGGUGUAGCGGUGAAAUGCGUAGAUAUAUGGAGGAACACAAGUGGCGAAGGCGGCUCUCUGGUCUGUAACUGAAGCUGAGGCUCGAAAGCGUGGGGAGCAAACGGG
RNAcentral lists this ribosomal RNA (429 nucleotides) under Gemmatimonadota bacterium. Its description in RNAcentral is "Gemmatimonadetes bacterium partial 16S ribosomal RNA". It matches the Rfam family "Bacterial small subunit ribosomal RNA", at positions 355 to 776 of the family's 1533-position model. Lineage: Bacteria; Pseudomonadati; Gemmatimonadota. The record is from RNAcentral.